GAUGAAGAACGUAGCGAAACGCGAUAAGUAAUGUGAAUUGCAGAAUCCAGUGAAUCAUCGAAUCUUUGAACGCACAUUGCGCCCGCCAGCAUUCUGGCGGGCAUGCCUGUUCGAGCGUCAUUUCAACCCUCGACCUCCCCUUGGGGAGGUCGGCGUUGGGGACCGGCAGCACACCGCCGGCCCUGAAAUGGAGUGGCGGCCCGUCCGCGGCGACCUCUGCGCAGUAAUAUAGCUCGCACCGGGACCCCGACGCGGCCACGCCGUAAAACACCCAACUUCUGAACGUUGACCUCGAAUCAGGUAGGACUACCCGCUGAACUUAAGCAUAUCAAUAAGCGGAGGA
This 343-nucleotide unclassified non-coding RNA is filed under the name soil metagenome. Its description in RNAcentral is "partial contains 5.8S ribosomal RNA, internal transcribed spacer 2, and large subunit ribosomal RNA". The stretch from base 1 to 120 matches the Rfam family "5.8S ribosomal RNA", at positions 35 to 154 of the family's 154-position model. The record is from RNAcentral.